ACAUUAACUCUACAACCCUACUACUGUGUUAUUCAUCUUUUUCAUCUAUAUGAUUGUUCUCUAUUAACAGCUGUGGAUUACAUGGAAUUCAUCUAUACAAGUUAUAUGCAGCUGUUAUAUAUCUCAUUAUAUUUGCCUGAGGGAUUAAACUAGCGCGUUUUCAAGCUGGAUAAGUGAGCGCAAGCAAGCGAUUGCGGCUUGUAAUGAGGGUUAAAAUAUCGGCAAAUCAAUCAUGGAUUUGGGAGAAUAUGAUCUCAACGCGUCCGCAUUGAAUGUGAAAUUAAAAAGCAAGCAUGGAGUGAUCUCAAUUAUGGAA
Molecule: small RNA, 316 nt
Filed under: Histoplasma ohiense
Lineage: Eukaryota; Fungi; Ascomycota; Eurotiomycetes; Onygenales; Ajellomycetaceae
Description: hypothetical lncRNA
Source: RNAcentral